AUUGAACGCUGGCGGCAGGCCUAACACAUGCAAGUCGAGCGGCAGCGGAAAGUAGCUUGCUCCUUUGCCGGCGAGCGGCGGACGGGUGAGUAAUGUCUGGGAAACUGCCUGAUGGAGGGGGAUAACUACUGGAAACGGUAGCUAAUACCGCAUAACGUCGCAAGACCAAAGAGGGGGACCUUCGGGCCUCUUGCCAUCAGAUGUGCCCAGAUGGGAUUAGCUAGUAGGUGGGGUAACGGCUCACCUAGGCGACGAUCCCUAGCUGGUCUGAGAGGAUGACCAGCCACACUGGAACUGAGACACGGUCCAGACUCCUACGGGAGGCAGCAGUGGGGAAUAUUGCACAAUGGGCGCAAGCCUGAUGCAGCCAUGCCGCGUGUAUGAAGAAGGCCUUCGGGUUGUAAAGUACUUUCAGCGGGGAGGAAGGUGUUGAGGUUAAUAACCGCAGCAAUUGACGUUACCCGCAGAAGAAGCACCGGCUAACUCCGU
This 489-nucleotide ribosomal RNA is filed under the name uncultured bacterium. RNAcentral's name for it is "partial 16S ribosomal RNA". It matches the Rfam family "Bacterial small subunit ribosomal RNA", at positions 30 to 506 of the family's 1533-position model. The record is from RNAcentral.